Molecule: ribosomal RNA, 456 nt
Filed under: uncultured bacterium
Lineage: Bacteria
Description: bacterial SSU rRNA
Rfam family: Bacterial small subunit ribosomal RNA
Source: RNAcentral
UACGGAAGGCAGCAGUGGGGAAUAUUGCACAAUGGGCGCAAGCCUGAUGCAGCCAUGCCGCGUGUAUGAAGAAGGCCUUAGGGUUGUAAAGUACUUUCAUCGGGGAGGAAAAAACAAAACUAAUAAUUUUAUUUCUUGACGUUACCCGAAAAAGAAGCACCGGCUAACUCCGUGCCAGCAGCCGCGGUAAUACGGAGGGUGCUAGCGUUAAUCAGAAUUACUGGGCGUAAAGAGCACGUAGGUGGUUUUUUUAAGUUCAGAUGUGAAAUCCCUGGGCUUAACCUGGAACUGCAUUUUGAAACUGAAAUACUAGAGUAUCGUAGAGGGAGGUAGAAUUCUAGGUGUAGCGGUGAAAUGCGUAGAUAUCUGGAGGAAUACCUGUGGCGAAAGCGGCCUCCUAAACGAAUACUGACACUGAGGUGCGAAAGCGUGGGGAGCAAACAGGGAUUAGAUACC